Molecule: transfer RNA, 74 nt
Filed under: Apaloderma vittatum (bar-tailed trogon)
Lineage: Eukaryota; Metazoa; Chordata; Aves; Trogoniformes; Trogonidae
Rfam family: tRNA
About the family: Transfer RNA (tRNA) molecules are approximately 80 nucleotides in length.
Source: Rfam by way of RNAcentral
AGCUCGUUAGCUCACUCGGUUAGAGCAUGGUGCUGAUAAUACCAAGGUCACAGGUUUGAUUCCUGUUCGGUCCC